RNAcentral lists this ribosomal RNA (460 nucleotides) under uncultured bacterium. Its description in RNAcentral is "partial 16S ribosomal RNA". It matches the Rfam family "Bacterial small subunit ribosomal RNA", at positions 338 to 795 of the family's 1533-position model. The record is from RNAcentral.
CCUACGGGAGGCAGCAGUGAGGAAUAUUGGUCAAUGGGCGCGAGCCUGAACCAGCCAAGCAGCGUGAAGGAAGAAUGUCCUACGGGUUGUAAACCUCUUUUAUAAAGGAAUAAAGUCAGGCACGUGUGCCCUUUUGUAUGUACUUUAUGAAUAAGGAUCGGCUAACUCCGUGCCAGCAGCCGCGGUAAUACGGAGGAUCCGAGCGUUAUCCGGAUUUAUUGGGUUUAAAGGGAGCGUAGAUGGGUUGUUAAGUCAGUUGUGAAAGUUUGCGGCUCAACCGUAAAAUAGCAAUUGAUACUGGCAGCCUUGAGUACAGGUGAGGUAGGCGGAAUGCGUGGUGUAGCGGUGAAAUGCUUAGAUAUCACGAAGAACUCCGAUUGCGAAGGCAGCUUACUAGACUGACACUGACAUUGAUGCACGAAAGUGUGGGUAUCGAACAGGAUUAGAUACCCGUGUAGUC